AUCCAUGGGAGAAGAAAGUGUCCGAUUUGGGAGUUGAAGAUUACAAACGUUUUGUUGCUGUGGAACCCGUUGCGGUCGAGAAACCGAUCAUAUUGAAACCUAGACAAGAGUGGAAAGGAGUACUCCAAGUCUCUGUGGUUCCUUCUGGUUGCUCCAGAAAGCCAUGCAUUCCACAUACUUAAAAACUUAAAAAUGUUCUUGAAGAUAUACUUUAUGUUACAGAAUCGUAUGUGAACUAGUCAGGAUUCAUACCGGACCUUACCAGUGUAUUUGUUUUGUAACUUUAGUAUUCUUGGAUCAUUAUAUCUGCAAUAAUUGAUAUUUUCAAUAAGAAUUUCAAUUUUAUUUCUCUAGUGUACUUGCCAUAUACAUUUUUCCGUUGUUGAUUAAUACAAAAUAUUUCAGUUUUCAACUAAUGAUGUAAAUAAAAUAUUGUCAAGAAACAGAAAAAGAAAUGAGAACAGAUGGAGAAAAAAAUGUCGAGAAGAUAGUUUCAAGACCAACGAUGCGUUGGACUAGUUGUUUAUUGAUUGGAGUUGGUUCUAUUGUACUAUUAGUUCGAUUUUCCCUGAGGAUACUUUACCUCAUGACACUGGUAUGACCACCGGCUGAUCUCAGGUCUAAGGAAAGAUUAGGGACUUGGUUCAAACUCUUCCUAGUUUACCAAAAAAAAAGUUCGAAGGAAUAAUAAUAAAAGUGUUGCAUUGAGAUUUGUAACGUGCUAUCGAGCGAUCAUAUUAUAAUCCGUGUUUUUAAUAUAGCAAUAUGUGUAUGAAUCGUAAGGCGACGAACAAGAGCAGAUGUGGCGUUAUCGCUGAUUUUGAGCAAGAUGGGAUAAAAUAAGACUUUUCUUUAUAUGGCCAACGUAAUGAACUCCUUUACUACAAUAUUUUUGGUCAACAUAAAUAGUCUUUUCUUAAAUUAAAUGAUUGGAACUGUACGAUUUAUUUCUGUUUUUAGGCUUUGUUCUUUUUUCACCUUCUGUUUCUUUGGUGUAUAUAUGGAACGAAAAGAUAAAAGAACUUGGACAAGGUAUCUUCUUCGUGAGCUACAUUGAAGGAGAAAAUAAAUAAAUAUGGGGAAUAAAGGAAAUCUCGGAUAUCUCAUCUUCUUAUGGGCAACUCUCGUUGCAGUAGUCGCCAUGGCCACCGCGCAGCGUCCCUUUGAGCGGACUAAGGGCAUCAAUGGUCUUGAAAAGAUCAUCGUCCGUGACGAUCGUGGCAGAUCUUUUGAGGUAUUUGUUUUGGUUUUAAUAAGAUAUAUAUUGCUUUAGUAAAAAAAGAUAUUGCUAAAGCGUAUGAUAGUAAAAAUAAAAUAAAAAUUGAAGUUGCAAAAUGAGAGAAAACAUGUAGUUUGGAAAAUGAAUAAACAAAAAUGAGAGGAAAUAUGUAGAUUGAAAAAGAAUGACAUUCCCUUAUGCGUGUGACUGGAUAAAUUUGCAGAACCAUAUAAAAAUGUUGCAAACUUAAUAUGUACACCUAUUAAGAAGCAAAUAAUAUAUCUAAGAAGCAAAUAAUACCUUUUAAAAUAAUGAAUGUCAAUAUAUUAUCCUACAGGGUGGAUAUUCAAAACUUAAUUUGUUUUGGUCUCAAGUCAUGUUUUCAGUAGGGUCUCACUAUAAAUUAAUUAGUGAUUUAUGCUACCUAGACUUCAACUUCCGAAUUGUUUGGGCAUUAUCUUAGUAUAAUACUUUCAGGUUUACUUGUAUGGAGGUCAAGUAGCUUCUUGGAAGAAUGAGAAAGGAAAGGAGUUACUUGUUAUGAGUAGCAAGGUACUUCAGAUUCAGUCAUCAAUCUUUACUUCAUUUUAGGCAUGUAGAUGAACAGAUAAGUAGUUACUAGCCUAUAAGUAUGAUCUCCAGAACCAAAGGAACUAUAAAAUCAUGGGUUGUAUAUUGUGCAGGCUAUAUUCAAGCCUCCAAUACCAAUUCGUGGAGGAAUUCCGAUAUUGUUUCCGCAAGUAUGUGCUUUCAGAUUAUUAUUAUUAUUAUAAUUUUUAAACAAUUCUUUUUUUUAAACAAUUCUUCUUUGUGUUUCAAAAAAAAAAAAAAAAAAAAAAAAAAACCUCAUCUUAAAUCGCUUGAUCAUAAAUGUUCAUGAUUUGUAACCCCUCUGUAAACUCUAUAUAUAUGAUUUUCAUCUUUGAUGAACUCAAUCUGCAUCUCCACAAAACUCAUUGAUUUCUCUUAUCUUUAACCAUCUUCUAAAAAAAUGCUAUAUCUGCCUCUCCGGUUUCUCAAACCGGCAAACUUCAAUAGAUUAGAAUGAAAUGGGUAACCGGGGUAUCGGCGUGGAUAUUGGAUAAGGUUCAACAGCAGGCAAACAAGACUAUUCUUGUUGUUCAACAAAAUAAAGUCUUCUCUCUUAAUGAAAUUAGCGAGUUGUACAUUCUUACUCGUUUUAUUUUUUGUCGUUGACUUUUUUAUUCCUUCUCAUUGGCCUAUUUAAUAGAAACUUUCAACAAGGUAUCGUCCUCGUGAGCGAACACUGUGAGGAACGACGAUUCACGAUGGGGAAUAAGGCAAAUCUGAUCUUCUUAUGGGCUACGCUGGUUGCAGUAGUCGCCAUGGCCACGGAGCAUCGUCCCUUUGAGCGGACUAAGGGCAUCAAUGGUCUCGAGAAGAUCAUCGUCCGCGACCGUCGCGGUCGAUCUUUCGAGGUACUCUUCUUUGUCUGAUUAUCAUAUACGGAACAACCAGAUCAGCCCGUGUUAAUGUUUGCUAAUUAUUAUCAGUUUUGACUUUUGAUCUGAUGAUCGUUAUGUAUAGCCGACAGUUGGUUUCCACUAAUCUUUUUAGAAUUCAAUUCUAUAUAUAAUUCAUUUUCUUCAAUAUUCUUACAUAAUUUCAGGUUUAUUUGUAUGGAGGUCAAGUGACUUCUUGGAAGAAUGAGAAAGGAGAGGAUUUACUUUUUAUGAGUACCAAGGUACUUCAGAUUCACCCUUGUAUAUGAGCUUUUAUGAGCUCCAAAAUGAGUGAGAUCUGAGAUAAUGUGUUAUGUGCUGUGCAGGCUAUAUUCAAGCCUCCAACACCUAUUCGUGGAGGGAUUCCAGUAUUGUUUCCGCAAGUAUGUGCUUAAGAAUGUUCUUUUUUUUCUUACUAUGUUUAUUGAAUGUUGUAUAAGUGUUGUUAAUGAAAUGCUCUUUUCUUUUUUUUUUCUGUAAAUGCAGUACGCUAACACUGGCCCACUUCCCUCACAUGGGUUUGUCAGACAAAGGUUUUGGGAAAUUGAUGCUCAUCCACCUCCGUUACCAUCACAUCCUUCUUCUAGUGCUCACGUUGACCUCAUCCUAAAAUCAUCCGAAGCUGAUUCGAAGAUCUGGCCUAAUAAGUAAAGAUUUUUAAACCUCUCUUUUCUUUCAUACUCUUAUAUCAUUUUUCAAUAUGUUAUGAUAUCCCACAUUAAAAAUGAAAAUGAUUCAUAAUCAAAAUAUAAAUCAUAUGAUAUACUAACAUAUAAGUCUUUUUAGUUUAAUUCUCACUUGAAAGCAACCUUGUGACCAGCUCUUUUAUGUCUUUCAGAUUUGUAUAUCGCCUGAGAGUAGCAUUGGGGCAUGGUGGAGACUUGAUUUUGACAUCUCGUGUUAAAAACUCUGAUGUAAAGCCGUUUAACUUCACUGUUGGUCUUCACCCCUAUUUCUCUGUUUCCGAUAUCAGGUAAAUCUCAUCGCAAUUUUUUUUCAAAUAUUUCGUUGUGUUGGUAUUAGUAUAUAAAGUUAUACAUCUAUUUGCUUCUUGUGUUCAGUAAAAUCCAGGUGGAAGGAUUGCAAAAUUUGGAUUAUCUUGACCAACAAAAGAACAGAACACGUUUCACUGACCAUGGCAAAUUUAUAACUUUUAGUUCACAGGUAAGCUUAUCUCUUUUUUUUCAACUGCUUAUAUCAUCACUAGUAUAAAACAACACUGCUAACUCUUCAAAAUAGCUUGACAGGCUUUACCUAAGGACUCCAAAAAAGAUCAGAAUCGUGGACCACAAUAAAAAGAAGACAAUCGUGGUACACAAGGAAGGAUAUGCUGAUGCAGGUAAUGCUUCUUAUACAUAAUUUUAUGAAACAAAUGGACACAGAAACAUUUUAUUCUAGUAACGAUGGAUCAUUUAUAAUGAUAAUACAAUAUGCAGUGGUGUGGAAUCCAUGGGAGAAGAAAGUGUCCGAUUUGGGAGUUGAAGAUUACAAACGUUUUGUUGCUGUGGAACCCGUUGCGGUCGAGAAACCGAUCAUAUUGAAACCUAGACAAGAGUGGAAAGGAGUACUCCAAGUCUCUGUGGUUCCUUCUGGUUGCUCCAGAAAGCCAUGCAUUCCACAUACUUAAAAACUUAAAAAUGUUCUUGAAGAUAUACUUUAUGUUACAGAAUCGUAUGUGAACUAGUCAGGAUUCAUACCGGACCUUACCAGUGUAUUUGUUUUGUAACUUUAGUAUUCUUGGAUCAUUAUAUCUGCAAUAAUUGAUAUUUUCAAUAAGAAUUUCAAUUUUAUUUCUCUAGUGUACUUGCCAUAUACAUU
Molecule: long non-coding RNA, 4500 nt
Filed under: Brassica napus (rape)
Lineage: Eukaryota; Viridiplantae; Streptophyta; Magnoliopsida; Brassicales; Brassicaceae
Description: long non-coding RNA (BNAP_LNC025976)
Source: RNAcentral